This is a long non-coding RNA of Phasianus colchicus (ring-necked pheasant), 1774 nucleotides long. The record is from Ensembl. NCBI's taxonomy places the organism in Eukaryota, Metazoa, Chordata, Aves, Galliformes, Phasianidae.
GUCCCUAUGGGGUUUUUCUGAGGCUCCCUAUGGGAUUUUUAUGCGUUCCUUAUGGGGUCACUAUGGGUUCCCUAUGGGUUCCCUAUGGGGUCCCUUUGGGGUCCUUCUGGGCUCCUUAUGGGGUCUCUAUGGGGUUCCCUAUGGGGUCCCUAUGGGGUUUUUCUGAGGCUCCCUAUGGGAUUUUUAUGGGCUCCUUAUGGCGUCUCUAUGGGUUCCCUAUGGGGUUUUUAUGGGGUUCCCUAUGGGGUCCCUAUGGGGUUUUUAUGGGGUCCUUAUGGGGUUUAUAACAGGGAUCCUUAUGGGGUCACUAUGGGUUCCCUCUAGGGUCCCUAUGGGGUUUUUAUGGGGUUUUUAUGGGGUUCCUAUGGGGUUUUUAUGGGGUCCCAAUGGGGUUUUUUAUGGGGUCUCCCUAUGGGCUCCUUAUGGGGUCUCCCUAUGGGGUCUCUAUGGGUUCCCUAUGGGGUUUUUAUGGGGUCUCCCUAUGGGGUCUUCCUAUGGGGUUUUUGUGGGUUUUUUUAUGGGGUCUCCCUAUGGGGUUUUUAUGGGGUUUUUUAUGGCAUCNNNNNNNNNNNNNNNNNNNNNNNNNNNNNNNNNNNNNNNNNNNNNNNNNNNNNNNNNUACCUAUGGGGUUUUUAUGGGGUCUCCCUAUGGGGUUUUUAUGGGGUUUUUAUGGGGUUCCCUAUGGGGUUUAUAACGGGGCUCCCUUUGGGGUCUCUAUGGGGUUUUUUUAUGGGGUCUCCCUAUGGGGUCUCCCUAUGGGGUCCCAAUGGGGUUUUUUUAUGGGGUCUUCCUAUGGGGACCCUAUGGGGUCUCUAUGGGGUCCCUGUGGGGUCUCUCUAUGGGGUUUCCCUAUGGGGUCUCCCUAUGGGGUUUUUAUGGGGUUUUUUGUGGGGUCUUUCUAUGGGGUUUUUAUGGAGUCUCUAUGGGGUUUUUUAUGGGGUCUCCCUAUGGGGUUUUUAUGGGGUCUCUAUGGGGUCUCUAUGGGGUCCCCAUGGGGUUUUUCUGGGGUCUCUAUGGGGUUUAUAACGGGGCUCCCUGUGGGGUCUCUAUGGGGUCCUUAUGGGCUCCUUAUGGGGUCUCUAUGGGGUCCCUAUGGGGUUUUUAUGGGGUCUCCCUAUGGGGUUUUUAUGGGUUUUUUUGUGGGGUGUUUCUAUGGGGUUUUUAUGGGGUCCCUAUGGGAUUUUUAUGGGGUCUCUCUAUGGGGUUUUUAUGGGGUUUUUUGUGGGGUGUUUCUAUGGGGUUUUUAUGGGGUCUCUAUGGGGUUUUUUAUGGGGUCUCCCUAUGGGGUUUUUUAUGGGGUCCCCCAUUAUUUCUCACCAUCUCUGCCCCACAGCGCCGCCCCCGCCAAGGAAAAUCCCUUUUUGUGCUUCGCCUCCUCCGCCUUCCGCCCCCCCGGCAGCUGCGGGGGCAAUUAACCCUUCCUUAAUUAACCGCUAAUUAAUGAACCGCCAAUUAAUGAACCGCCAACGAAUCCCUCCUUCGGCGCUCGUUAAUUCACCCAUCCUCAAAAAGUUCAUUAACAUCCCAAAAGGGGGUGGGGGGUCCCACAAACCUCCCCCCCCCCCCUUUCUGCCGAAUUAACGUGAAAUUAAGAACCGUUCUAAUGAGGAAAUAACGAUUAAUUGGUGAUGAAUCGUUAAUUAGGCCUUAAAUUAAUUAUCAACAGCAGCCGUCCAGCAAACAGGGAGGUUUAUUCUUCACCCAGAAUCAGCGAGUUGGGUUUGUUUGAUGCAGGAACUCAUUAAUAAACCACCCAUUAAUUGCUAAUUAAUCA